ACAAGUGGGACGUGUUAUGUGAAUGAGAGCAGUUCCAGGGCUUGCGUGAAUACUACUGAGGCUGUUUACACCCCUUCAACACAUCACUGAAUGAAUUGAACCAGGCAGUAAGUAGCCAGUAUGUGAUCUGCAAUCACUGAGGACUUGUGAGGCAGACUAAGAAGCCCUACUGGAUCCACUGGAGAAAUUCUGGCUUUCAUGUUUGUUUGAGACAAAAAGAAGGUAAUUGAUACAAGCACGAUUUGUCAAGCUUAGCACUUGGAUUUGAAGGAUACUCUUCACUGUUACGGAUGUCCACCACCAGCAACUUUGGCUUGCUAGACUUUGUUUUUUUUAUAGGUGUUUUGGAAUGACUUGGUCCUGUCAGUUCACAAAGAUCAAUCAGAUCUUCUGCUGAAAUCCUUGGUGACACCUCU
Molecule: long non-coding RNA, 416 nt
Organism: Lagopus leucura (white-tailed ptarmigan)
Lineage: Eukaryota; Metazoa; Chordata; Aves; Galliformes; Phasianidae
Exons: 3
Source: RefSeq, a predicted model, not a curated record